RNAcentral lists this ribosomal RNA (466 nucleotides) under uncultured bacterium. RNAcentral's name for it is "partial 16S ribosomal RNA". It matches the Rfam family "Bacterial small subunit ribosomal RNA", at positions 338 to 795 of the family's 1533-position model. The record is from RNAcentral.
CCUACGGGAGGCAGCAGUGGGGAAUCUUCCGCAAUGGGCGCAAGCCUGACGGAGCAACGCCGCGUGAAUGAAGAAGGUCUUCGGAUCGUAAAGUUCUGUUCUUAGGGAAGAAGUCUUAGGUUGUGAAUAAUGACUUAAUGUGACGGUACCUAUGGAGAAAGCUCCGUCUAACUACGUGCCAGCAGCCGCGGUAAUACGUAGGGAGCGAGCGUUAUCGGGAAUUACUGGGCGUAAAGGACGCUAAGGCGGGAAAUUAAGUUAGAUGUGAAAACGCCGGGCUUAAACUGGGGACUGCAUUUAAGACUGGGUUUCUUGAGGGCAGGAGAGGAAAGUGGAAUUCCUAGUGGAGCGGUGAAAUGCGUAGAUAUUAGGAGGAACACCAGUGGCGAAGGCGACUUUCUGGACUGUACCUGACGCUGAGGCGCGAAAGCAUGGGGAGCGAACAGGAUUAGAUACCCGAGUAGUC